CAUCAAUUGAUUCCAUCUGUUUCAGUGUCUCCAUAUGAUUAUCUUCUGUGUCUGGAUCUAACACACUACCAAUAAACUGAUGCACUUGAACGAAAUCCGGUAUGGCUGGACAAGCAGGACAUGAUCAGAAUACACAUUAAACAUCUUAAUAGAAUAUAUGAUCAUAUUACCACGAUUUGCAGGUAUAUUACGUAUCUGUUCUGAUGUUUCAGAUAUUGGCCAUGUUUCGGAUGGACUCCCACUGCUACUACAACCAUUCUUAUUCGGAGCAUUUUUAGAAGAUCCUACAUGUCCCCAAUCAUCUGUAAACUCUAAAAAAGAGGUAAUUAAAAUUAUGAUUGAAAUUUAUUUACUUCAGUGGAUUUAAAAAAAAUAACCUUUGCCACUGCUACUACAACAAUUCUUAUUCGGAGCAUUUUUAGAAGAUCCUACAUAUCCCCAAUCAUCUGUAAGACCUAAAAAGGGUAGUUAAGUUAUGAUUAAAAUUUAUUUACCUCAGUAGAGUUUAAAAAGAGAAUAACCUUUGCCACUGCUACUACAAAAAUUCUUAUUCGGAGCAUUUUUAGAAGAUCCCACAUGUCCCCAAUCAUCUGUAAAAUAUAUAAAAAGGGUAGUUAAGUUAUGAUUGAAAUUUAUUUACCUCAGUAGAGUUUAAAAAGAGAAUAACCUUUGCCACUGCUACUAUAAAAAUUCUUAUUUGGAGCAUUUUUAGAAGAUCCUACAUGUCCCCAAUCAUCUGUAAAAUCUAAAAAAAAGGUAGUUAAGUUGUGAUUAAUUUUUUUUACCUCAGUAGAGUUUAAAAAGAUAAUAACCUUUGCCACUGCUACUACAAAAAUUCUUAUUCGGAGCAUUUUUAGAAGAUCCCACAUGUCCCCAAUCAUCUGUAAAAUAUAUAAAAAGGGUAGUUAAGUUAUGAUUGAAAUUUAUUUACCUCAGUAGAGUUUAAAAAGAGAAUAACCUUUGCCACUGCUACUAUAAAAAUUCUUAUUUGGAGCAUUUUUAGAAGAUCCUACAUGUCCCCAAUCAUCUGUAAAAUCUAAAAAAAAGGUAGUUAAGUUGUGAUUAAUUUUUUUUACCUCAGUAGAGUUUAAAAAGAUAAUAACCUUUGCCACUGCUACUACAAAAAUUCUUAUUCGGAGCAUUUUUAGAAGAUCCUACAUGUCCCUGAUUAUCUGUAAAAUAUAUAAAAAAGGUGGUUAAGUUAUGAUUGAAAUUUAUUUACCUCAGUAGAGUUUAAAAAGAUAAUAACCUUUGCCACUGCUACUACAAAAAUUCUUAUUCGGAGCAUUUUUAGAAGAUCCUACAUGUCUCCAAUCAUUAGUAAAAUCUAAAAAAAAGGGUAGUUAAGUUAUGAUUGAAAUUUAUUUACUUCAGUGGAGUUUAAAAAGGUAAUAACCUUUGCCAGAUGAUAUAUUAUUAGUGCUAAUAGGUGUGGUGGUGUUUUGAGACCAACAAGGCAAAUCAUCGAUACUAAUCGGUGUGGUGGUGUUUUGAGACCAACAAGGAAAAUCAUCAAUGCUAAUCGGUAAAUCAUCAAUGCUAAUCGGUAAAUCAUCAAUGCUAAUCGGUGCGGUGGUGUUUUGAGACCAACCAGGAAAAUCAUCAAUACUAAUCGGUAAAUCAUCAAUGCUAAUCGGUGCGGUGGUGUUUUGAGACCAACCAGGAAAAUCAUCGAUGCUAAUUGGUUUGGUGGUAUUUUGAGACCAACAAGGCAAAUCAUCAAUGCUAAUUGGUGUGGUGGUAUUAUGAGACCAACAAGGCAAAUCAUCGAUGCUAAUCGUCGGUAUGGUGGUGUUUUGAGACCAAGAAGGCAAAUCAUCGAUGCUAAUCGUCGGUAUGGUGGUGUUUUGAGACCAAGAAG
RNAcentral lists this long non-coding RNA (1861 nucleotides) under Zostera marina. RNAcentral describes it as "long non-coding RNA (ZMAR_LNC003721)". Lineage: Eukaryota; Viridiplantae; Streptophyta; Magnoliopsida; Alismatales; Zosteraceae. The record is from RNAcentral.